This 29-nucleotide non-coding RNA is filed under the name Mus musculus (house mouse). The record is from RNAcentral. Lineage: Eukaryota; Metazoa; Chordata; Mammalia; Rodentia; Muridae.
UGCAGAUCAUUUUGCCCGGCUCUCUACUU